GAUGAACGCUGGCGGCGUGCCUAAUACAUGCGAGUCGAGCGAACAGACGAGGAGCUUGCUCCUCUGACGUUAGCGGCGGACGGGUGAGUAACACGUGGAUAACCUACCUAUAAGACUGGGAUAACUUCGGGAAACCGGAGCUAAUACCGGAUAAUAUAUUGAACCGCAUGGUUCAAUAGUGAAAGACGGUUUUGCUGUCACUUAUAGAUGGAUCCGCGCCGCAUUAGCUAGUUGGUAAGGUAACGGCUUACCAAGGCAACGAUGCGUAGCCGACCUGAGAGGGUGAUCGGCCACACUGGAAUUGAGACACGGUCCAGACUCCUACGGGAGGCAGCAGUAGGGAAUCUUCCGCAAUGGGCGAAAGCCUGACGGAGCAACGCCGCGUGAGUGAUGAAGGUCUUCGGAUCGUAAAACUCUGUUAUUAGGGAAGAACAAAUGUGUAAGUAACUAUGCACGUCUUGACGGUACCUAAUCAGAAAGCCACGGCUAACUACGUG
This 497-nucleotide ribosomal RNA is filed under the name uncultured bacterium. RNAcentral describes it as "partial 16S ribosomal RNA". It matches the Rfam family "Bacterial small subunit ribosomal RNA", at positions 28 to 507 of the family's 1533-position model. The record is from RNAcentral.